This 159-nucleotide ribosomal RNA is filed under the name uncultured bacterium. Its description in RNAcentral is "partial 16S ribosomal RNA". It matches the Rfam family "Bacterial small subunit ribosomal RNA", at positions 355 to 509 of the family's 1533-position model. The record is from RNAcentral.
UGAGGAAUAUUGGUCAAUGGGCGUAAGCCUGAACCAGCCAAGUCGCGUGAGGGAAGACGGUCCUACGGAUUGUAAACCUCUUUUGCCGGGGAGCAACGGGGUCCUUGCGAGGGCCUUAUGAGAGUACCCGGAGAAAAAGCAUCGGCUAACUCCGUCGCC